GCACCCGUAGCUCAGUAGGAUAGAGUACUACUUUCCGAAAGUAGAGGUCUCAGGUUCAAUCCCUGUCGGGUGUA
This 74-nucleotide transfer RNA is filed under the name Enterobacteriaceae endosymbiont of Donacia sparganii. Its description in RNAcentral is "tRNA-Arg". It matches the Rfam family "tRNA". Rfam says of the family: Transfer RNA (tRNA) molecules are approximately 80 nucleotides in length. Their secondary structure includes four short double-helical elements and three loops (D, anti-codon, and T loops). Lineage: Bacteria; Pseudomonadati; Pseudomonadota; Gammaproteobacteria; Enterobacterales; Enterobacteriaceae. The record is from RNAcentral.